GCCUGGGUGGCUCAGUCGGUUAAGCGUCCGACUUCGGCUCGGGUCAUGAUCUCGCGGUCCGUGGGUUCAAGCCCCGCGUCUGGCU
This 85-nucleotide transfer RNA is filed under the name Felis catus (domestic cat). It matches the Rfam family "tRNA". From Rfam's summary of the family: Transfer RNA (tRNA) molecules are approximately 80 nucleotides in length. Their secondary structure includes four short double-helical elements and three loops (D, anti-codon, and T loops). Further hydrogen bonds mediate the characteristic L-shaped molecular structure. tRNAs have two regions of fundamental functional importance: the anti-codon, which is responsible for specific mRNA codon recognition, and the 3' end, to which the tRNAs corresponding amino acid is attached (by aminoacyl-tRNA synthetases). tRNAs cope with the degeneracy of the genetic code in two manners: having more than one tRNA (with a specific anti-codon) for a particular amino acid; and 'wobble' base-pairing, i.e. permitting non-standard base-pairing at the 3rd anti-codon position. The record is from Rfam by way of RNAcentral. Lineage: Eukaryota; Metazoa; Chordata; Mammalia; Carnivora; Felidae.